RNAcentral lists this ribosomal RNA (238 nucleotides) under uncultured bacterium. RNAcentral's name for it is "partial 16S ribosomal RNA". It matches the Rfam family "Bacterial small subunit ribosomal RNA", at positions 96 to 334 of the family's 1533-position model. The record is from RNAcentral.
CGGCGGACGGGUGAGUAACGCGUGGGUGACCUGCCCCAUACCGGGGGAUAACAGCUGGAAACGGCUGCUAAUACCGCAUAAGCGCACAGAGCUGCAUGGCUCGGUGUGAAAAACUCCGGUGGUAUGGGAUGGGCCCGCGUCUGAUUAGGCAGUUGGCGGGGUAACGGCCCACCAAACCGACGAUCAGUAGCCGGCCUGAGAGGGUGACCGGCCACAUUGGGACUGAGACACGGCCCAA